UAAAUUUGUUCGAUUUAAUGAUUCAAUUUCCUGUACCGACAAAAACCCUAGAAAUUCUUUUCUAGAGAUAUUACAUACAAAAUCCAGAACAUAGACAAUUUCUAGAGGCGCUGCACUCUGAAGUGAUCACGCUGCUCUUCUUGCAGUCAUAGUGCCGCCGCUACCACUUGGUUUAAAAUCAGAUACAUUCGUGAUGAUGGAGUCUUCGGAGGCGGCGGCGGCGGUGCGGUGCGUGGAGGUCUACUGCGGUGGCUGGUUUUGUGGCCGCCGAGUGCUUGGCAUGACGGAAAAGACUUUCCGUACACGUCACACUUGUGCAACUGCUUCUGGCCCAGUGGAGUAGUGGAAGAUGGUUCGACACUCUUCUUGUACUCUGUGGCUUUGAUGGUGGUGGGAGUGGUGGUAGUGGUGGCGGAAGGGGGAUUGAAUUCUUUAGUUUUGGCGGCGGCAGGAGUGGUGGUUGGAGGGUCUUGAGAUAGCAUGAUGAGGACUGUUAUGAAAAAUAGAGUUGAUUGGAUUUCAGAU
RNAcentral lists this long non-coding RNA (525 nucleotides) under Olea europaea (common olive). RNAcentral describes it as "long non-coding RNA (OEUR_LNC005834)". Lineage: Eukaryota; Viridiplantae; Streptophyta; Magnoliopsida; Lamiales; Oleaceae. The record is from RNAcentral.